This 700-nucleotide ribosomal RNA is filed under the name uncultured spirochete. RNAcentral's name for it is "bacterial SSU rRNA". It matches the Rfam family "Bacterial small subunit ribosomal RNA", at positions 67 to 758 of the family's 1533-position model. The record is from RNAcentral. Lineage: Bacteria; Pseudomonadati; Spirochaetota; Spirochaetia; Spirochaetales.
CGGCAAGGGGAGCGAUCCCCCCUAGAGUGGCGGACUGGUGAGUAACGCGUGGGUAAUCUACCUUGUGGUUUGGGAUAGCCGCUAGAAAUAGCGGGUAAUACCGGAUACGGUUACCGGGCUAAUGCCCGGUAAAGAAAGGGGCUAUGGCCCUGCCAUAAGAUGAGCCCGCGUCCCAUUAGGUAGUUGGUGAGGUAAUAGCCCACCAAGCCCAUGAUGGGUAGCCGGCCUGAGAGGGUGAACGGCCACAUUGGGACUGAGAUACGGCCCAAACUCCUACGGGAGGCAGCAGCUAAGAAUAUUCCGCAAUGGUCGGAAGACUGACGGAGCGACGCCGCGUGGACGAAGAAGGCCGAAAGGUUGUAAAGUUCUUUUGCCACUGAAGAAUAAGGGCAGGAGGGAAUGCCUGCUCGAUGACGUUAGGUGGUGAAUAAGCCCCGGCUAAUUACGUGCCAGCAGCCGCGGUAACACGUAAGGGGCGAGCGUUGUUCGGAAUUAUUGGGCGUAAAGGGCGCGUAGGCGGUUUUGCAAGUCUGGCGUGAAAUGGUAAGGCUCAACCUUAUCACUGCGCUGGAAACUGCGGAACUAGAGUCAUGGAGGGGAGGUUGGAAUUCCGAGUGUAGGGGUGAAAUCUGUAGAUAUUCGGAAGAACACCGGUGGCGAAGGCGAACUUCUAGCCAAUGACUGACGCUGAGGCGCGAAA